Homo sapiens (human) is the source of this 939-nucleotide long non-coding RNA. Ensembl annotates it as ARHGAP29 antisense RNA 1. Its record names the gene ARHGAP29-AS1. The record is from Ensembl. Lineage: Eukaryota; Metazoa; Chordata; Mammalia; Primates; Hominidae.
CGCGCGCAGAACGCGGCGGUCAGCUGCGCCCGGCCUGAAGUUGUCCCAACCGCGGCCGCGUCGGUCGCCCUUUUGACUUGCAGCAGGGCGGGCAGAGCGACUUAGAGGAAAAGUGACUUUUUGUACCCUCCUGCAGGGAGCAGGUUCUCUGUCCUUGUUUAAUUAGACAUUUCUCAGGUGGGCACUUUGAAUUCCUUCCAGUCAAGACUCAGGUGUUCAACUUGUUUUGUCGGCCGUCUUCCUCCACCCUUCUUCUCCCAUUCAAAACAAAAAGAAUCCUGCCUCUGCUCUGAAGCCUUUCUGUUCGCUCCAGUGAAAAUUAGUCAUCCACCGGGCGCGGUGGCUCACGCCUGCAAUCCCAGCACUUUGGGAGGCCGAGAUUCUCCUCAACCAUGAUGAAUAAUGCCUGGGAGAGGGGAAGAAGUAAUGGAAGCCUGCACGGGUGGCCCCAAGGCAGGCAGUCCUUGGACUCCCUGGACUGCGGCUGUCCUUGACCUCACUGCUGGGGCAUGUAAAAGGAACGACUCAGAGUCUAACAGGCCACAGUCUGGGCUUGAUGUUCACCGAUUUUCCCUCAGCUCCGACUGUGGCUCCUCUCAGCUGACUCUGACCCUGCUCUCAGCCGGGCUGCAUCUGCCCAUCUCAGCACAUCAAUAAACAGCAGAGGGAAACUACCACCUUGGAAGGAGCCAGGCAGUUUCUGCUGGGUAGGCCGCAGCCUGGAACAUGGAAGUAGCUUCUUCCAUCCUACACUGGAAACCACCCAGCAUCCCGGGCCCUCCAGAGAAGAGCCAGACUCCCUUCCCUGGGAAGAGACUAUAGUCCUAUCUGUAUCCUCCGUGGUCAUUGCCCCUCAGUCACAGCAAUGAAGAGCAAAUUACCUGUUUUCUGUAUGUUCCUCUGACAACAACUGCCACAGAGUAAAUAUGAAAGGUUCUG